GACUUGGUAAGAACGGGGCUAACCCGCCUG
Molecule: transfer RNA, 30 nt
Filed under: Trachylepis damarana (Damara skink)
Lineage: Eukaryota; Metazoa; Chordata; Lepidosauria; Squamata; Scincidae
Description: partial tRNA-Tyr
Source: RNAcentral